GACGAACGCUGGCGGUGUGCUUAACACAUGCAAGUCGAACGGAAAGGCCCUGCUUUUGUGGGGUGCUCGAGUGGCGAACGGGUGAGUAACACGUGAGUAACCUGCCCUUGACUUUGGGAUAACUUCAGGAAACUGGGGCUAAUACCGGAUAGGAGCUCCUGCUGCAUGGUGGGGGUUGGAAAGUUUCGGCGGUUGGGGAUGGACUCGCGGCUUAUCAGCUUGUUGGUGGGGUAGUGGCUUACCAAGGCUUUGACGGGUAGCCGGACUGAGAGGGUGAACGGGCACAUUGGGACUGAGGUACGGCCCAGACUCCUACGGGAGGCAGCAGUGGGGAAUAUUGCACAAUGGGCGGAAGCCUGAUGCAGCAACGCCGCGUGCGGGAUGACGGCCUUCGGGUUGUAAACCGCUUUCGCCUGUGACGAAGCGUGAGUGACGGUAAUGGGUAAAGAAGCACCGGCUAACUACGUG
RNAcentral lists this ribosomal RNA (468 nucleotides) under uncultured bacterium. RNAcentral describes it as "partial 16S ribosomal RNA". It matches the Rfam family "Bacterial small subunit ribosomal RNA", at positions 28 to 507 of the family's 1533-position model. The record is from RNAcentral.